GAUAAUGUAAUGUGAAUUGCAGAAUUCAGUGAAUCAUCGAAUCUUUGAACGCACCUUGCACCUCUUGGUAUUCCGAGAGGUACGCCUGUUUGAGUGUCGUGAAAUUCU
RNAcentral lists this ribosomal RNA (108 nucleotides) under Gloeocystidiellum bisporum. RNAcentral describes it as "partial 5.8S ribosomal RNA". It matches the Rfam family "5.8S ribosomal RNA", at positions 57 to 154 of the family's 154-position model. Rfam says of the family: 5.8S ribosomal RNA (5.8S rRNA) is a component of the large subunit of the eukaryotic ribosome. It is transcribed by RNA polymerase I as part of the 45S precursor that also contains 18S and 28S rRNA. The record is from RNAcentral. Lineage: Eukaryota; Fungi; Basidiomycota; Agaricomycetes; Russulales; Gloeocystidiellaceae.